Molecule: ribosomal RNA, 18 nt
Filed under: Ochlerotatus punctor
Lineage: Eukaryota; Metazoa; Arthropoda; Insecta; Diptera; Culicidae
Also listed under: 9 other names
Description: partial 28S ribosomal RNA
Source: RNAcentral
CUCAAAUAAUGUGUGACU